UGGGGAAUAUUGCACAAUGGGCGCAAGCCUGAUGCAGCCAUGCCGCGUGUGUGAAGAAGGCCUUCGGGUUGUAAAGCACUUUCAGCGAGGAGGAAGGUGGUGAGCUUAAUACGCUCAUCAAUUGACGUUACUCGCAGAAGAAGCACCGGCUAACUCCGUGCCAGCAGCCGCGGUAAUACGGAGGGUGCAAGCGUUAAUCGGAAUUACUGGGCGUAAAGCGCACGCAGGCGGUUUGUUAAGUCAGAUGUGAAAUCCCCGGGCUCAACCUGGGAACUGCAUUUGAAACUGGCAAGCUAGAGUCUCGUAGAGGGGGGCUAGAAUUCCAGGUGUAGCGGUGAAAUGCGUAGAGAUCUGGAGGAAUACCGGUGGCGAAGGCGGCCCCCCUGGACGAAGACUGACGCUCAGGUGCGAAAGCGUGGGGCAGCAAACAGGAUUAGAUACCCUGGUAGUCCACGCUGUAAACGAUGUCGAUUUUGGAGGUUGUGCCCCUUGAGGCGUGGCUUCCGGAGCUAACGCGUUAAA
RNAcentral lists this ribosomal RNA (522 nucleotides) under uncultured bacterium. RNAcentral's name for it is "partial 16S ribosomal RNA". It matches the Rfam family "Bacterial small subunit ribosomal RNA", at positions 355 to 864 of the family's 1533-position model. The record is from RNAcentral.